Non-coding RNA from Prionailurus viverrinus (fishing cat), 404 nucleotides. NCBI's taxonomy places the organism in Eukaryota, Metazoa, Chordata, Mammalia, Carnivora, Felidae. The record is from the annotation of a RefSeq genome assembly.
ACAGAAGGCAGGAUCAGUGAUGAUCUCGACCAUGGCCUGGUCCCCUCUCCUCCUCACCCUCCUCAUUCACUGCACAGGGUCCUGGGCCCAGUCUGUGUUGAGUCAGCCACCCUCAGUGUCUGGGGCCCUGGGCCAGACGGUCACCAUCCCCUGCGCUGGAGGUGCCAACAACAUCGGUAUUGCUGGUGUGAACUGGUACCAACAGCUUCCAGGAAAGGCCCCUAAACUCCUCAUCUAUGAUAGUAGCGAUUGACUCUCAGGGGUCCCUGACAGAUUUUCUGGCUCCACAUCUGGCAACACAGGCUCCUUGACCAUCACUGGGCUCCAGGCUGAGGACGAGGCUGAUUAUUACUGCCAGUCUCUUCACUUUACUCAAGGUGCUGACACAGUGCUCCAGGCCUGUG